UACGUAGGUGGCAAGCGUUAUCCGGAAUUAUUGGGCGUAAAGAGCGCGCAGGUGGUUGAUUAAGUCUGAUGCGAAAGCCCACGGCUUAACCGUGGAGGGUCAUUGGAAACUGGUCGACUUGAGUGCAGAAGAGGGAAGUGGAAUUCCAUGUGUAGCGGUGAAAUGCGUAGAGAUAUGGAGGAACACCAGUGGCGAAGGCGGCUUCCUGGUCUGUAACUGACACUGAGGCGCGAAAGCGUGGGGAGCAAACAGGAUUAGAUA
Molecule: ribosomal RNA, 261 nt
Filed under: uncultured prokaryote
Description: partial 16S ribosomal RNA
Rfam family: Bacterial small subunit ribosomal RNA
Source: RNAcentral